CCCAUCAUAUGCAGUGGUUACUUGGGAAGACAAACACCAUCACUCCAAACAUCCCCUUCUUCCUUCUUCCCCCCCACUUUAUACACUGAACAUGAUGUCAUAUGACCUGGAAUAUCCCUUUGGUUGGCUUGGGUCACCUGUCCCAGCUGUGUCUCCUCCCAGCUCCCCAUGCACAUCAUCUGUGACCGUAUUAAUUAAUGGAUAGCGGUUUAUGUGAUCGGGAGGAAGAUGUGCUCUGAGCUCAGAACAAGUUGUUAGGACAUAGUAGAGUUGAUGCAAUAGCCCCAAAGAGGACAGCCCUGACUAGCUUUGCUUUUUUGUUUUUUCUUUUAUCUCUAUAUUGCAUCUUAGGAAGUAGAACAGUGUGUGAACAGUUUUAAAUUUUCCCUGUAUCUUGGUGGCUUGAACUUCUGCUUGAGGGGUAAGCCCAUCCUGCCUCUUGUUCAGACACUACGGUAGCUCAGUGACUCUACUUCCUUUCAUAGCUGCAGUUAGCUUGAAGCAGGCAGCAUACAGUUAAUAUUUAUGGCAUCUCAGCUAAGGAGAGACCUUUUUUCCUAGAAGUACCAAGGAUGUAUUAUGUUGUAGAGCUUCAGAAUACAUGUAAGUAAAAACAGUGGCUAGCAGCUUUCCUUCAGGGUAUUUCCAGGUCUCAGGUUUACUCAGAGAUGCUACAACUCAUGAACACAGGAGCAAUAGCAUUUCCUCCUCUCAUCUUUACAGUCAUUAUUCUCAAGAGUAAGGGCAAAGCAUGCCACUUGAUGUGCAUGUUUAUUCUCUUUUAAUUUAGGAUAAUAUUAACCAGUGCUUGAUGCAUUUGUUGAGACAAACUGAACAUUAGUCUUUAAAAGUGAGCUAGAAAGUAGUAGUAGUAGAAACAUUUGCUUCCUCAGCCCACUCUGAGAUUGCUUCCCAUAUUGAAAUCAGUUGAAAACAAGGAGUCUGAUUUCUGCUGGGCAUCAGGGGGCACAGUUAAAAUGUACAGCUUAUGUGGCCCCUCUGACAGACCACCUGGGUCCCUGUGGCAUUACAGCUGAAGCUAGAGCUCUGCUUGGCCCUGACAGUGUUUAUCAGAAGUUCCUAUUUCACCCUGAAGAAAGAUAAAAAGGUCACCAGGUCAUUAAGGUGAUUUUUUUUCUCCAAAAAGGUUGAUUUUGAAUUACUGCUCCAAAUCAGGUGACUUAGAUGUGUAAAUAUUUCUGGUUCAUUUCUGUUGCCAGAUCAUUUGAUCUUGCCCUAGGUUUUUUUUGGUUUUUUUUGUUUUUUUUUUUUCCUGGAGCACAGCAGUGGCUGUAGUAGGAGGGGAAUUUUGAACAGUCUCAUAAUUUUUUUUCUUUCUUUUUGAUUAAAUACUUUCCCUGAUGGGCUUUAAUUCUGCUAGCAAUUAUUAAAAUCCAUGCUCUUUCUUUCCCUUAUCUCACUGGCUACAUGCAUCAGGGGAGUGCUUCCUUUUCCUGCAUUGCCUGUGGUAACACACCCCAGUGCUGCUUCAUCUUGCCUUGAGAUUUCCUCUUUUGCACAUUCUUUCUCUGUUUAUCUAAUGUCCCCUGGAAGACGUGAAGAGAACAAGUCCUUAAGAAGGCAUUUUCUUUCUUUCUUUGAACACAUUGUUUCUAAUAUCCACAUGGUUUGUUUGUUUGUUUAUUUGUUUGUUUUCUGGUGUUUUUUCUUUCCUAAUAUGCAUAGCAUAACUAUUUCUUCUGUGCCAUGGAAUUGGAGGACUUGGACAAGCAUUGAAUUUGGAAAGAAAUUCAAGCUAUCUACUCUUAUCCAACCUCUCACUCCUAUGGAAGCACACUAAGACUGUACCAGCUGGAUCUGUACUUUCUAGGCGACGACCCUCGGGUCCCACAAUUGCCACAGUUUCCUCGGCAUCCUCAGCCAUGUGGCUGGAGAAAUAAACAUCUCUGAAAAUA
Long non-coding RNA from Corvus hawaiiensis (hawaiian crow), 1916 nucleotides. RefSeq lists it as uncharacterized. Lineage: Eukaryota; Metazoa; Chordata; Aves; Passeriformes; Corvidae. The record is from RefSeq and is a predicted model, not a curated record. The transcript is spliced from 2 exons.